CAUAUGCUUGUCUCAAAGAUUAAGCCAUGCAUGUCUGAGUACAGACCGAUCUAAGGUGAAACCGCGAAUGGCUCAUUAAAUCAGUCGUAAUUUCUUGGAUAGUGAAAAACUUUCCUCGGAUAACUGUGGAAAAUCCAGAGCUAAUACGUGCAACUGAGCUCCGACCUAGGCGCAAGCCUUGGGAAGAGCGCAUUUAUUAGAUUCAAAACUGACCGGUGUACUCCUUCGGGAUACACCGAUUGUCAAAUGUUUGAUGACUCCGGAUAACUUAGCCGAGCGCUACGGUCUUCAGUACCGGCGCCGUAUCUUUCAAGUGUCUGCCUUAUCAGCUUUCGAUUGUAGGUUAAACGCCUACAAUGGCUGUAACGGGUAACGGGGAAUCAGGGUUCGAUUCCGGAGAGGGAGCCUGAGAAACGGCUACCACAUCUAAGGAAGGCAGCAGGCACGCAAAUUACCCACUCCCAGCCCGGGGAGGUAGUGACGAAAAAUAACGAUGCGAGACUCUUCCGAGGCCUCGCAAUCGGAAUGAGUCCAUUCUAAAUCUUUGGACGAGGAUCCAUUGGAGGGCAAGUCUGGUGCCAGCAGCCGCGGUAAUUCCAGCUCCAAUAGCGUAUAUUAAAGUUGCUGCGGUUAAAAAGCUCGUAGUUUGACUUUCUAGAUCCAUUUCGUGGGCGAGUCGCUAGUUGCGCUAGUAUCUUGUGUCAGUCGCUCGGUAAUGUUGCGUCUUGGCUCGGGUUUCUCUCUCUACUACGCAUGCGCGUGGGGGUUCGCUCUCGCGUUGUCACGCUAGUAGUAGGGUUUCUCGCAGUCUUUUCGCGUUUGCAAAAUCGAGAGUGUACGGCGAGACGCUGCCUUCCGGUAUAGCUCGUCCGCGUUUGGUACAAUUAACUUUUUGUCGGCUCGCUCGGAGUGCUCUUUACCGAGUGUUCCAGGGUGGCCGACACGUUCACUUUGAAAAAAUUAGAGUGCUUAAAGCGGGCUUAUACGCGGCCUGGAUGUCUGUGCAUGGAAUGAAAUAACAGGACCUCGAUUCUGUUCUUUUUGUCGGUUUUAAUGAACCGAGGUAAUGAUUAAAAGGGACAGACGGUGGCAUUAGUAUUGCGACGCUAGAGGUGAAAUUCUUGGACCGUCGCAAGACUAACUACUGCGAAAGCAUUUGCCGAGAAUGUUUUCAUUAAUCAAGAACGAAAGUUAGAGGAUCGAAGGCGAUCAGAUACCGCCCUAGUUCUAACCCUAAACUAUGCUAACUAGCGAUCCGCCGAAGUCAUUCCCACGACUCGGCGGGAAGCCCCAGGGAAACCAAAGUCUUUGAGUUCCGGGGGAAGUAUGGUUGCAAAGCUGAAACUUAAAGGAAUUGACGGAAGGGCACCACCAGGAGUGGAGCCUGCGGCUUAAUUUGACUCAACACGGGAAACCUCACCAGGCCCGGACAUCAUAAGGAUUGACAGAUUGAGAGCUCUUUCUCGAUUUGAUGGGUGGUGGUGCAUGGCCGUUCUUAGUUGGUGGAGUGAUCUGUCUGGUUGAUUCCGAUAACGAACGAGACUCUACCCUACUAACUAGUCGGCGGAUCGUAACCCUGAGAUGGUUAGUUUGUAUAGGAGAGUUUUGCCCAGGCAAAGUUCUCUCGAUGAUGGUGGGUUGCUCUCAGCUUUUUGCUAUUUAGGUAGCAUGGGCGAAGGAGGGACUUCCCUGUCGGGUGUAACGAUGUCGAAGCUGCUCUCUGAUUACUACUACUGCUGGGGGCGUCCGUCGCAAUGUAUCUUCUUAGAGGGAUCAGCGGCGUCUAGCGCACGAGAAAGAGCAAUAACAGGUCUGUGAUGCCCUUAGAUGUUCUGGGCCGCACGCGCGCUACAAUGUAGAGACCAGCGUGCUCUCCCCCUCCGAAAGGAGCGGGUAACCCGUUGAAACCCCUACCCGAUUGGGAUUGGGGAUUGCAAAUAUUUCCCAUAAACGAGGAAUUCCCAGUAAGCGCGAGUCAUCAAGUCGCGCUGAUUACGUCCCUGCCCUUUGUACACACCGCCCGUCGCUACUACCGAUUGAAUGAUUCAGUGAGGGCAUCGGACUGGCGCCUUCGGUUUAGUAACCUAGACCUUAGGCUGACGGAAAGAUGUCCGAACUUUAUCAUUUAGAGGAAGUAAAAGUCGUAACAAGGUUUCCUAG
RNAcentral lists this ribosomal RNA (2160 nucleotides) under Macrostylis sp. 2-JW-2004. RNAcentral's name for it is "SSU rRNA". It matches the Rfam family "Eukaryotic small subunit ribosomal RNA". Lineage: Eukaryota; Metazoa; Arthropoda; Malacostraca; Isopoda; Macrostylidae. The record is from RNAcentral.